AAGCUCCACCGGCUGUCCAGUGGUGGGAGUAAUUUUUGGCGAUUUUUUAGUGAUUUUUGGCGAAGUCCUAGCGGCGCUAGAGUAUCGGACAGGUUAUCCCGGCUCUCCCGCUAGAUUGAUGAGAUCAGGCAUC
Non-coding RNA from Choloepus hoffmanni (Hoffmann's two-fingered sloth), 133 nucleotides. The record is from Rfam. NCBI's taxonomy places the organism in Eukaryota, Metazoa, Chordata, Mammalia, Pilosa, Megalonychidae.